This 400-nucleotide unclassified non-coding RNA is filed under the name uncultured bacterium. Its description in RNAcentral is "contains 16S-23S intergenic spacer region". The record is from RNAcentral.
UCCGGGUUAGUCCCGGCGGUCCCGCCAGACUUCGUAACUGACGGCAGGGGUUGCGCUCGUUGCGGGACUUAACCCAACACCUCACGGCACGAGCUGACGACAGCCGUGCAGCACCUGCACAGGCUCCCUUGCGGGUCCCUUGGCUUUCGCCUCAGUACCACCUGUGCGGGCUCCGAAGAGCACCGUGUUUCCACGGUUUCACCCCGCAUGUCAAGCCCAGGUAAGGUUCUUCGCGUUGCGUCGAAUUAAACCACAUGCUCCGCUGCUUGUGCGGGUCCCCGUCAAUUCCUUUGAGUUUUAGCCUUGCGGCCGUACUCCCCAGGCGGGGCACUUAAUGCGUUAGCUCCGGCACGGGAGGAGUCGACACCUCCCACACCUAGUGCCCAUCGUUUACGGCGUG